GCAUGCCUACAACAUAGCGUUAAUUCAUUGGAUCCCAUUAGAACUCUGUAGUUAAGGGCGCUUGGGCUAGAGUAGUACUAGGAUGGAUGAUUGCCCAGGAAGUACUAGUGUUUUACAUGCA
This is a non-coding RNA of Picea glauca (white spruce), 121 nucleotides long. Lineage: Eukaryota; Viridiplantae; Streptophyta; Pinopsida; Pinales; Pinaceae. The record is from Rfam.